RNAcentral lists this ribosomal RNA (330 nucleotides) under uncultured eukaryote. RNAcentral's name for it is "partial 18S ribosomal RNA". It matches the Rfam family "Eukaryotic small subunit ribosomal RNA", at positions 1470 to 1796 of the family's 1831-position model. The record is from RNAcentral.
CCCUUAGAUGUUCUGGGCCGCACGCGCGCUACACUGAUGCAUUCAACGAGUCUAAAACCUGGUCUGAUAGGGCUGGGUAAUCUUUCGAAAGUGCAUCGUGAUUGGGAUAGAUGAUUGCAAUUCUUCAUCUUCAACGAGGAAUGCCUAGUAAACGCAAGUCAUCAGCUUGCAUUGAUUACGUCCCUGCCCUUUGUACACACCGCCCGUCGCUCCUACCGAUUGAAUGAUCCGAUGAAUACCAUGGAUUGAGAGUACGAAUGGGUUCGCUCAUUUCUGCUGCUCGAGAAGUGGAGUAAAUCUUAUCAUUUAGAGGAAGGAGAAGUCGUAACA